RNAcentral lists this ribosomal RNA (267 nucleotides) under uncultured bacterium. Its description in RNAcentral is "partial 16S ribosomal RNA". It matches the Rfam family "Bacterial small subunit ribosomal RNA", at positions 793 to 1055 of the family's 1533-position model. The record is from RNAcentral.
GUCCUAGCUGUAAACGAUGCUUACUAGGUGUGGGAGGUAUCGACCCCUUCCGUGCCGCCGCUAACGCAUUAAGUCAGCCGCCUGGGGAGUACGGCCGCAAGGUUAAAACUCAAUGGAAUUGACGGGGGCCCGCACAAGCAGUGGAGCAUGUGGUUUAAUUCGACGCUACGCGAAGAACCUUACCUGGGCUCGAACGACUGGUGGUAGUCUGGAUGAAAGUCUAGGCGACCCGCAAGGGAGCCAGCCGAGGUGCUGCAUGGCUGUCGU